AUUGAACGCUGGCGGCAGGCCUAACACAUGCAAGUCGAACGGCAACAGGAAGCAGCUUGCUGCUUCGCUGACGAGUGGCGGACGGGUGAGUAAUGUCUGGGAAGCUGCCUGAUGGAGGGGGAUAACUACUGGAAACGGUAACUAAUACCGCAUAAUGUCGCAAGACCAAAGAGGGGGACCUUCGGGCCUCUUGCCAUCUGAUGUGCCCAGAUGGGAUUAGCUUGUUGGUGGGGUAACGGCUCACCAAGGCGACGAUCCCUAGCUGGUCUGAGAGGAUGACCAGCCACACUGGAACUGAGACACGGUCCAGACUCCUACGGGAGGCAGCAGUGGGGAAUAUUGCACAAUGGGCGCAAGCCUGAUGCAGCCAUGCCGCGUGUAUGAAGAAGGCCUUCGGGUUGUAAAGUACUUUCGGCGGGGAGGAAGGGAGUAAAGUUAAUACCUUUGCUCAUUGACGUUACCCGCAGAAGAAGCACCGGCUAACUCCGUG
RNAcentral lists this ribosomal RNA (490 nucleotides) under uncultured bacterium. Its description in RNAcentral is "partial 16S ribosomal RNA". It matches the Rfam family "Bacterial small subunit ribosomal RNA", at positions 30 to 507 of the family's 1533-position model. The record is from RNAcentral.